CCUACGGGCGGCAGCAGUAGGGAAUCUUUCACAAUGGGCGAAAGCCUGAUGGAGCAACGCCGCGUGCAGGAUGAAGGCCUUCGGGUUGUAAACUGCUUUUAUAAGCGAGAAAUAUGAUGGUAACUUAUGAAUAAGGAUCGGCUAACUACGUGCCAGCAGCCGCGGUCAUACGUAGGAUCCGAGCAUUAUCCGGAGUGACUGGGUGUAAAGAGUUGCGUAGGUUGCAUAAUAAGUAGCUAGUGAAAUCUGGUGGCUCAACCAUUCAGACUAUUAGCUAAACUGUUAAGCUCGAGACCGUUAGGGGUAACUGGAAUUUCUAGUGUAGGAGUGAAAUCCGUAGAUAUUAGAAGGAACACCAAUAGCGUAGGCAGGUUGCUGGGACGGUUCUGACACUAAGGCACGAAAGCGUAGGGAGCAAACGGGAUUAGAUACCCGUGUAGUC
This 442-nucleotide ribosomal RNA is filed under the name uncultured bacterium. RNAcentral's name for it is "partial 16S ribosomal RNA". It matches the Rfam family "Bacterial small subunit ribosomal RNA", at positions 338 to 795 of the family's 1533-position model. The record is from RNAcentral.